This 484-nucleotide ribosomal RNA is filed under the name uncultured bacterium. RNAcentral's name for it is "partial 16S ribosomal RNA". It matches the Rfam family "Bacterial small subunit ribosomal RNA", at positions 30 to 507 of the family's 1533-position model. The record is from RNAcentral.
AUUGAACGCUGGCGGCAUGCCUAACACAUGCAAGUCGAGCGGAUUAUCGGUGCUUGCUCCUGGCUUCAGCGGCGGACGGGUGUGUCAUACCUAGGAAUCUGCCUGGUAGUGGGGGAUAACGUCUGGAAACGGGCGCUACUUCCGCCUGCGUCCUGAGUGGGAAAGGGGUGGCUGUUGGGACCUGACGCCAUCCGGUGUGCCUAGGUCCGAUUAGCUAGUUGGUGGGGUAAAGGCCUACCAAGGCGACGAUCCGUAACUGGUCUGCGAGGAUGACCAGUCACACUGGAACUGAGACACGGUCCAGACUCCUACGGGAGGCAGCAGUGGGGAAUAUUGGACAAUGGGCGAAAGCCUGAUCCAGCCAUGCCGCGUGUGUGAAGAAGGUCUUCGGAUUGUAAAGCACUUUAAGUUGGGAGGAAGGGCAGUAAGUUAAUACCUUGCUGUUUUGACGUUACCAACAGAAUAAGCACCGGCUAACUUCGUG